Molecule: transfer RNA, 73 nt
Filed under: Pseudogymnoascus destructans
Lineage: Eukaryota; Fungi; Ascomycota; Leotiomycetes; Thelebolales; Thelebolaceae
Description: partial tRNA-Ala
Rfam family: tRNA
About the family: Transfer RNA (tRNA) molecules are approximately 80 nucleotides in length. Their secondary structure includes four short double-helical elements and three loops (D, anti-codon, and T loops).
Source: RNAcentral
GGGGACAUAGUUUAAUUGGUAAAACUGCGACUUUGCAAGUCGUUAUCUCAGGUUCGAAUCCUGAUGUCUCCAU